This 450-nucleotide ribosomal RNA is filed under the name uncultured Glomus. Its description in RNAcentral is "SSU rRNA". It matches the Rfam family "Eukaryotic small subunit ribosomal RNA", at positions 569 to 1023 of the family's 1831-position model. Lineage: Eukaryota; Fungi; Glomeromycota; Glomeromycetes; Glomerales; Glomeraceae. The record is from RNAcentral.
AGCAGCCGCGGUAAUUCCAGCUCCAAUAGCGUAUAUUAAAGUUGUUGCAGUUAAAAAGCUCGUAGUUGAAUUUCGGGGUUAGUAGGCUGGUCGUGCCACCGGUACGUACUGGUCUUACUGAUUCCUCCUUCCUGAUGAACUGUAAUGCCAUUAAUUUGGUGUUGCAGGGAAUCUGGACUGUUACUUUGAAAAAAUUAGAGUGUUUAAAGCAGGCUAACGCUUGAAUACAUUAGCAUGGAAUAAUGAAAUAGGACGUUCGAUCCUAUUUUGUUGGUUUCUAGGAUUGACGUAAUGAUUGAUAGGGAUAGUUGGGGGCAUUAGUAUUCAAUUGUCAGAGGUGAAAUUCUUGGAUUUAUUGAAGACUAACUACUGCGAAAGCAUUUGCCAAGGAUGUUUUCAUUAAUCAAGAACGAAAGUUAGGGGAUCGAAGACGAUCAGAUACCGUCGUAG